UGACUUGAUAGCUCAGCUGGGAGAGCACCAUCUUGACAGGGUGGGGGUCGUCGGUUCGAGCCCGGCUCAGGUCAU
This 75-nucleotide transfer RNA is filed under the name Paenibacillus chitinolyticus. RNAcentral's name for it is "tRNA-Val". It matches the Rfam family "tRNA". Rfam says of the family: Transfer RNA (tRNA) molecules are approximately 80 nucleotides in length. Their secondary structure includes four short double-helical elements and three loops (D, anti-codon, and T loops). Lineage: Bacteria; Bacillati; Bacillota; Bacilli; Caryophanales; Paenibacillaceae. The record is from RNAcentral. RNAcentral also lists the same sequence under 1 other name.